UCUCUUAAAUAUGGAUGGACUUCCACAGAUUAGAAACACAACUGUUGUGAAUCUGCCCUCGAAGGUCACUUCAUCCAGCGUAGGUUCUGUGCAUUAGCUGAAGCUCCGUGAUGGAGGAGGAAGACACCGGGCAGAGAAUUUUGGCUCCUGUUGCAACUGAAGGCAAAUCUCUACCAGCCCUUCUCUUUGCAUUGUUUAUAUUCCUCGCAGGUAAGUUGACACAGGUGAGUAAAGCGAACAGAUAUUUGAAAGAGUCGCAUAAGUUGGUUCAGAGCAAUCCCCUCCCAUUAGCGGCUUGUGGCUGAAUUGGCUGGGAGGUUUUUAAGUUCCCCCCACUCGUCUUCUCUCUGCAUUUCAGGCUUUUAGCAGAAGCAACAGGCACCCCCUAGAAAAUAACUUUUCAGUUGCUUCUAUUAGUUGCUGUGAACAGGAACUGCUCCAGGAACAUGGGGGUUGUGGUACCCAUCUGGGCCAUAGUCUGAACAUGCCAUCUGAUCUCCUUCAGCUUUCGUGGCUUCUUAAGUCCUGCUAAGCUGUGGCAGCAUUUCUCUGCUAAAUUUCCAACCAGGAGAAAAAGCCUAUAACUUGCAUAUAGUCCAUUUAAAACGUUCCUUGAAGCAUACCUGUUCGUAAAGCAGUGGCUGUAAAGAUGCCUCAAAGACGCCAUUUAGAUAAACGAAUUAAUUCAUUAGAGCCAAGAAUACUUAGUUUGUUUCACAGGCUACAAACCUGGUCGCUGGUUGUGAUACUAUUGGCAUUUUAUAUAAUUCUUUCCAUUUCUGAGGAUUUGGUGUGUGUGUGUGUUUUUUUUUCUUUUAAACCAAAAUAGAACCCUGAACUCUUUAAAUGAGUUUAGUUCUCUUCUUAAGACAGUCAUGUGUUUUAAAAGCCUCCCCUGUAGAACAUGUUCGUGGAAUUACUGAACAGGGAGGGAUAUCUAAGUUUAUAAUGCAUUUAUAUGAGGUGCGGACAAGUUGGGUGAUUUAAAACGAAUAAAGGAAAUUGUGAGCGUUUUAAUCCAACUCAAAGUACUUAGAAGGCUUUAGAUCAGGCAUGGCUGCAAAACUUGCUGUAUAUCUUAACGCAUAGAUGGACUAAGAAUUAUUAAGUAAAUUAAAUAAUUGGAGGGAUCAGCUAUAUAAAGUCCUGCAGUUAACAAUGUGCACAGGACUUAUUUAAAGAAAGAAAAAACUGCUAACUAUGCUUAUAACAUAUAAGUGUUGGUCCACAAGAAAUAAAAUACAGAGUCCAUAGUUGCCUAACCUUUUUAUCAGAACAUACCAAUAAAUGCUUUUGUGACUGACAGCUGUCACUGUAGCGCGUACCAAAUAAAUACGAAAGGUUGAUGGGAAACCAGUUUCUCAAAUUGCUUAAUUAUCCAACUGAGAUUAUACCUGUACAUUUAUACGCUGGAGUAAAUUCAUUGUUCGAAAUGCACCACUGGCUACCGCUGGAACAGGUGCAUUUUAGAGGGGAAUGUAGGAAUUCUGGCCUGGAGAAGACCAAUUAAUUUGGGAGGCAAGCAUGGAAAGUCCUUAGCUUAAAUAAAACCAUGCAGGCUUUUUUCUUUCCCCAUCUGGUACAACCAACGGAAUCAAUAGUUUUGAGUCCUCCCUGAGUUGUUCAGAAGCCGAGAAUUCGUUCUCCAAACGCUUUUACGAGGUGCUGAUUGACAUUCUGUGGUUGCUACUUGUUCCGUUGCGACUUUGAACCUUUUCUCCCUGUAUAUU
Thamnophis sirtalis is the source of this 1730-nucleotide non-coding RNA. NCBI's taxonomy places the organism in Eukaryota, Metazoa, Chordata, Lepidosauria, Squamata, Natricidae. The record is from RefSeq and is a predicted model, not a curated record.